Manacus vitellinus (golden-collared manakin) is the source of this 2508-nucleotide long non-coding RNA. RefSeq lists it as uncharacterized. The transcript has 2 exons. The record is from RefSeq and is a predicted model, not a curated record. NCBI's taxonomy places the organism in Eukaryota, Metazoa, Chordata, Aves, Passeriformes, Pipridae.
GUAGCCUUGUGCUUUUCCACAUAUUCACAAAGCAAUGUUAAAGCUACAACACCUACCAAAAAAGGGGGAAAACAAAUACAAAUAUUGUACAGUGGUAUGUGCAUGAAUUGCCUUCCUUUGUAGACUCCACCUCCCAUUGAUAAACUAAGUAGCUUCCUAAAAUCAAAGGGACCUCUCUAUUUUGGUUGCCCUCAGGGGAGACAAAAAGGAAUCCUGGGUGCUUCCUGCCCCUUCACACCAGUCACGGUUGGUGUUUGGGUCUGGAGGGCAUUUGCAUCCCCUCCACCAUCAGAGUCAAUGGGCUUCCUUGGAGAUCUCCAGCACUGGCAGCUGGCAAGGCAGGAUGCCGACCUGAAAACCUGCAGGAGCCCUGUCUGUCUAUGGGUCAGGAUCUGGUGGGACAAAAGGACUGUCUGGCUCUUAACAUCCGUGAUUUUUACCUUGAAUUGUAGCAGGAGUAUUUUUGAGAGCUGUUAACCCUGUUGGUUCAUAUGGCAAGGGGCAGGUUUCUCACUUAGCUACCCGACUUCUUGCUUUGACCAGCUCACCUAACAGCUGGCUUUGCACUCUGGUAUUAAAAGAAAGUGGCCCAAAUAAGGAACUGUCUCCUGAGUCACUGCCAAAUGGCGCUUAGGCCUCUGCAUACAGCAUGUGCAUCUGCCAUACCUUCUUUGUGCCAGUCUUGUCACACCCCAGCCUCACAGUUCUUUAAGGGCUAUUUGGAUAAUAAACAUGCUGAGCCCAGACUCUGCACUGACAGUGUAAGCUGAUACACCACACCGGGAAGUGCUACCGCAGGGAAAGAGUCACAUGUUCCUGUUCCAUCUUCUUCCGUCUCUGCCACCUCCUGCAGAGACAUUCCCUGGGAAGCAGUGCUGCCCAAAGCUGUUGUACGUGUCUACUUCAGAGUGUGUGAGACAAAGUCUUUAGGUUACCCAAGCAGGAAAUUUGCUUUGGCUCAAUAGCUCUGUUACAGGAAUAGGAAAGUGAAAGUUAUUAAGGGGGAAAGUGUUAUACAUCUGAGUUGUGGAGAAAGCAGAUUCAUGCCAGAAGACUUAAGGUAAACAACUUACCUGAUGAGAAAGUGGAGGACAAAUUCAAAUAUUGAAAUUGCAUAGGAGAGGAAUCAUCCUCAUGUUCACAGUGUACAGUUACCAGACUGUUCAAGAAACAAGGAAAUUGAAGUGAAAGCAAAAGUUGCAAGUGUCAAACCCAAUAUUACUGCUUUGGAUCAAUUGCAGAGCUUAGUGGGUUUAACUGUUAGAUAAAGAAUCUAAUAUAGACUGACCUGUAUAUUGAGGAUACACUUCUUGACACUAUUUGGUAGAUACAUGCUAGAUCCCAAACACUUGGUAGCGUUAGGCGCUUGUAUUAGCCUGGAUAUAUGUAAUCUAAGUAUCCACGGUGGCUGUGCUAGGUCAGAACAAGGAUCCUGCAGCCCUGAGUUUUUUCUCCACAGUGGUUAUAGGCCAGGAAUAGCAAGCACUUCCCAUGAAUACUGACCUGGGUGCUAACUACAUUUAGUUUGGGGGAUUUCCUGAGGUACAUACAUUUUCUCUAUAUUUACAAAGCCAAAUAAUAUAUCUCUGUUCUGAAUUUUGUUUAGCAUUCUCUUGAAUUCAUGUCAACUUCAAGCAGCCAAUAUAUUUUGGCAAAGUUCAGCAGGUGAGUUUUUCCUUGCAUGAAGCACUGGAGUGGGGAGGAGGCCCUGGGAGGGUGAAGCACCUGGUUCCCAGUAGCUUUGUUUGGUUCUUCCCAGUCAACAGUAAUGAUCAGUCCCAUCUGUUCUUUUACACACUGCUCAGAGUUUUGUACAUGUGCAUCACCUCCACUCCUAAAUAAUCUCCUUCCCAGGCCAAGGAGUCCUGUCCUUCUCAGUUGUUCUUCUAAGAGAAGUCAUUGCCUUUGGUCACCCUUGUUGUUCUUCUCUAAACACCUCCAGUCUCACUAUCCCAUUACUGAGAAGAGGGGACCAGAGAUCUCUUCAGAAAACUCAGUAAAGGUGACAGAAGACCCUACAGUUUUUCCAGUAAUGCAAUGAAACCUGCAAGUUUCAUCCUGCUGGCAAUAAAAUCAGCUAUAUGUCAAACACCUGGGGUUUUUUUGAGCAUUUUAUGUAUUUAUAUUUUCUUUACUAUAAGUUUUAAUAAGAUGGCUGAGAUUUUUAGUACAAAGUAUGUAAAAGUUUUGUUGAGAUUAGUGCAAGUUUCAGUUAAAGUAAAAAGAGAACUAAUGGCCUUAUUUAAUUUUCAUUAAUACUAAAAUUGAAGACUUCUGCUCAUGUAAAUGCAUUAUUGUGAAAAGCACUAAAAAAGUAUUGACCUUAUUGUCCAUUUCAAGAUAACCUUCCUUUCUUCUCAAUCAGAAUUAAGAGAUUUCUCUGUAAAUUCAGAUUGCAUUUCUGGGUCAGUUUAUUUUCCCUAUUCAUUUAAAGAGAGAAUGUCAUAACUGGCAGCACUGACCUCUAAACACCAGCAAAUAAAUGCCAAUUUGUCUUUUUUUGCCUCA